This 508-nucleotide ribosomal RNA is filed under the name uncultured bacterium. Its description in RNAcentral is "partial 16S ribosomal RNA". It matches the Rfam family "Bacterial small subunit ribosomal RNA", at positions 28 to 507 of the family's 1533-position model. The record is from RNAcentral.
GACGAACGCUGGCGGCGUGCCUAAUACAUGCCAGUCGAACGCUUCUUUCCUCCCGAUUGCUUGCACUCAAUUGGAAAGAGGAGUGGCGGACGGGUGAGUAACACGUGGGUAACCUACCCAUCAGAGGGGGAUAACACUUGGAAACAGGUGCUAAUACCGCAUAACAGUUUAUGCCGCAUGGCAUAAGAGUGAAAGGCGCUUUCGGGUGUCGUUGAUGGAUGGACCCGCGGUGCAUUAGCUAGUUGGUGAGGUAACGGCUCACCAAGGCCACGAUGCAUAGCCGACCUGAGAGGGCGAUCGGCCACACUGGGACUGAGACACGGCCCAGACUCCUACGGGAGGCAGCAGUAGGGAAUCUUCGGCAAUGGACGAAAGUCUGACCGAGCAACGCCGCGUGAGUGAAGAAGGUUUUCGGAUCGUAAAACUCUGUUGUUAGAGAAGAACAAGGACGUUAGUAACUGAACGUCCCCUGACGGUAUCUAACCAGAAAGCCACGGCUAACUACGUG